GUGAAUACGUUCCCGGGUCUUGUACACACCGCCCGUCACACCACGAGAGUUUGUAACACCCGAAGCCGGUGGAGUAACCUUUUAGGAGCUAGCCGUCGAAGGUGGGACAAAUGAUUGGGGUGAAGUCGUAACAAGGUAGCCGUAUCGGAAGGUGCGGCUGGAUCACCUCCUUU
This 173-nucleotide ribosomal RNA is filed under the name Staphylococcus aureus. RNAcentral's name for it is "partial 16S ribosomal RNA". It matches the Rfam family "Bacterial small subunit ribosomal RNA", at positions 1362 to 1533 of the family's 1533-position model. The record is from RNAcentral. Lineage: Bacteria; Bacillati; Bacillota; Bacilli; Caryophanales; Staphylococcaceae.